RNAcentral lists this ribosomal RNA (180 nucleotides) under Sterigmatomyces halophilus. Its description in RNAcentral is "partial 26S rRNA". Lineage: Eukaryota; Fungi; Basidiomycota; Agaricostilbomycetes; Agaricostilbales; Agaricostilbaceae. The record is from RNAcentral.
UUAGUGUAUUCCCNVGUUUUGCGGACCAGCAUCAGUUCUUUCGCAGUAUAAGGGUGAUUGGAACGUGGCUUCUCCGGAAGUGUUAUAGCCUUUCACUGGAUGCUGUGUCGCAGACUVAGGACUGCAGUGCCCGUAAGGCABUUCGGGCCNCGAGCACUUAGGAUGCUGGGCGAAUGGGUU